Long non-coding RNA from Trichosurus vulpecula (common brushtail), 336 nucleotides. RefSeq lists it as uncharacterized. NCBI's taxonomy places the organism in Eukaryota, Metazoa, Chordata, Mammalia, Diprotodontia, Phalangeridae. The record is from RefSeq and is a predicted model, not a curated record. The transcript is spliced from 3 exons.
GGUCACCCUCAGGAACUGAAACCAGCAAUAGCAGCAGCUGAGUGGGGAGGAACUAGCCUAAAGAGCGACCUGCUGGACCCACCCUUGAAAUGAGAAAACAGAGGCAAACACCUUCAAGCUCUGAAGCUGACAAAACAUUCAGCCAAAAUUUGUCCACAGUCAGACAGCCAGGAAACUAUAACAAAUAAUCAUGAUAUCCAAGCCAAACAAAUCCAAAAGAACCACCAGGAAUCCCAAAUGUGCAAAUGGGCCAACGGUCUUCUGCAGAACGUGUCCAUAUGGGAGGGAGAAAACAACAGAAGUGGUUACAGGACUUUCCUAUGAAUGGGAGCUGCC